RNAcentral lists this ribosomal RNA (496 nucleotides) under uncultured bacterium. Its description in RNAcentral is "partial 16S ribosomal RNA". It matches the Rfam family "Bacterial small subunit ribosomal RNA", at positions 29 to 507 of the family's 1533-position model. The record is from RNAcentral.
AUGAACGCUGGCGGCGUGCCUAAUACAUGCAAGUCGAGCGAACAGACGAGGAGCUUGCUCCUCUGACGUUAGCGGCGGACGGGUGAGUAACACGUGGAUAACCUACCUAUAAGACUGGGAUAACUUCGGGAAACCGGAGCUAAUACCGGAUAAUAUAUUGAACCGCAUGGUUCAAUAGUGAAAGACGGUUUUGCUGUCACUUAUAGAUGGAUCCGCGCCGCAUUAGCUAGUUGGCAAGGUAACGGCUUACCAAGGCAACGAUGCGUAGCCGACCUGAGAGGGUGAUCGGCCACACUGGAACUGAGACACGGUCCAGACUCCUACGGGAGGCAGCAGUAGGGAAUCUUCCGCAAUGGGCGAAAGCCUGACGGAGCAACGCCGCGUGAGUGAUGAAGGUCUUCGGAUCGUAAAACUCUGUUAUUAGGGAAGAACAAAUGUGUAAGUAACUAUGCACGUCUUGACGGUACCUAAUCAGAAAGCCACGGCUAACUACGUG